GACCUAGUGGUGAGAGGUCUCGCACCCGUGUCAAUUUAUCGCGGUGUAAACUUGCGGGGGUUCAAUCCUGGUUCGAUUCCAGGCUGGGUCA
Mycena filopes is the source of this 91-nucleotide non-coding RNA. The record is from the annotation of a GenBank genome assembly. NCBI's taxonomy places the organism in Eukaryota, Fungi, Basidiomycota, Agaricomycetes, Agaricales, Mycenaceae.